Molecule: ribosomal RNA, 460 nt
Filed under: uncultured bacterium
Lineage: Bacteria
Description: partial 16S ribosomal RNA
Rfam family: Bacterial small subunit ribosomal RNA
Source: RNAcentral
CCUACGGGAGGCAGCCGUGAGGAAUAUUGGUCAAUGGGCUUACGCCUGAACCAGCCAAGUCGCGUGAGGGAAGACUGCCCUAUGGGUUGUAAACCUCUGUUGUCAGGGAGCAACGCCGGCUACGUGUAGCCGGACUGAGAGUACCUGAAGAAAAAGCAUCGGCUAACCCCGUGCCAGCAGCCGCGGUAAUAAGGAGGAUGCGAGCGUUAUCCGGAUUUAUGGGGUUUAAAGGGUGCGUAGGCGGAAUGCCAAGUCAGCGGUAAAAUCGCGGGGCUCAACCUCGCUCCGCCGUUGAAACUGGCGUUCUUGAGUGGGCGAGAAGUAUGCGGAAUGCGUGGUGUAGCGGUGAAAUGCAUAGAUAUCACGCAGAACUCCGAUUGCGAAGGCAGCAUACCGGCGCCCAACUGACGCUGAAGCACGAAAGCGUGGGUAUCGAACAGGAUUAGAUACCCCAGUAGUC